UACGUAGGGUGCGAGCGUUAAUCGGAAUUACUGGGCGUAAAGCGUGCGCAAGCGGUUUGUUAAGACAGAUGUGAAAUCCCCGGGCUUAACCUGGGAACUGCAUUUGUGACUGGCAAGCUAGAGUAUGGCAGAGGGGGGUAGAAUUCCACGUGUAGCAGUGAAAUGCGUAGAGAUGUGGAGGAAUACCGAUGGCGAAGGCAGCCCCCUGGGCCAAUACUGACGCUCAUGCACGAAAGCGUGGGGAGCAAACAGG
Molecule: ribosomal RNA, 253 nt
Filed under: uncultured bacterium
Lineage: Bacteria
Description: partial 16S ribosomal RNA
Rfam family: Bacterial small subunit ribosomal RNA
Source: RNAcentral